This 465-nucleotide ribosomal RNA is filed under the name uncultured bacterium. RNAcentral's name for it is "partial 16S ribosomal RNA". It matches the Rfam family "Bacterial small subunit ribosomal RNA", at positions 28 to 507 of the family's 1533-position model. The record is from RNAcentral.
GACGAACGCUGGCGGCGUGCUUAACACAUGCAAGUUGAACGGAAAGGCCCCCUUGUGGGGUACUCGAGUGGCGAACGGGUGAGUAACACGUGAGUAACCUACCCUUGACUUUGGGAUAACUUCAGGAAACUGGGGCUAAUACCGGAUAGGAGCUCCUGCUGCAUGGUGGGGGUUGGAAAGUUUCGGCGGUUGGGGAUGGACUCGCGGCUUAUCAGCUUGUUGGUGGGGUAGUGGCUCACCAAGGCUUUGACGGGUAGCCGGCCUGAGAGGGUGACCGGCCACAUUGGGACUGAGAUACGGCCCAGACUCCUACGGGAGGCAGCAGUGGGGAAUAUUGCACAAUGGGCGGAAGCCUGAUGCAGCAACGCCGCGUGCGGGAUGACGGCCUUCGGGUUGUAAACCGCUUUCGCCUGUGACGAAGCGUGAGUGACGGUAAUGGGUAAAGAAGCACCGGCUAACUACGUG